This 315-nucleotide ribosomal RNA is filed under the name uncultured Bacteroidales bacterium. RNAcentral's name for it is "partial 16S ribosomal RNA". Lineage: Bacteria; Pseudomonadati; Bacteroidota; Bacteroidia; Bacteroidales. The record is from RNAcentral.
GGAGUCUGGACCGUGUCUCAGUUCCAAUGUGGGGGACCUUCCUCUCAGAACCCCUACCCAUCGUCGGUUUGGUGGGCCGUUACCCCGCCAACUGCCUAAUGGGACGCGAGCCAAUCCGAUAGCGAUAAAUCUAUUAAACAAUCUCCAUGCGAAAACUGUUGUUACGGAGUAUUACACGACGUUUCCAUCGACUAUCCUCCUCUAUCGGGCAUGUUGCUCACGCGUUACUCACCCUUUCGCCGGUCGCCGCCAGAGUAUUGCUACUCCGCGAUGCCCCUCGACUUGCAUGUGUUAAGCCUGCCGCUAGCGUUCAUC